GGGGGUGGGGAGGCCAGGGAUGAGAAGAAGAAGGCUGGCACCCCACUAGGGAAGAGUUUGAUGGGGGAUUCUCAUCUGGGCACCACACAGUUUAUAGGAACCCAGGGCGGACUUGCCUGGAUCCCGAAUGGGCUGUGGGGACUCUGGGGACAGGUCAAGAGCACACAACUGUCCUGGAGAAGGACACAGAGGCUGGAUAAUAGGAGCUAACAUUCAUCUUUCCAAGUAAGAGGACCAAGUGUGCUCCCAAUGGUAGGAAUUCCACAGACAGCAGCAGUGUGCAGCCCACGGCGUGAAUUCAGGUGUCCAAUAUCACCUUCAGAAGCAUCUGGAAGGGUCCUGGCUUAAGCGGGUGAGUCCAUGGCAGCUGAAGCUGUCCUGAAGACAUAUUCAUGAGUCCAACUGGCAACCCUCUUCUCUGCGAUGGCUCCAUGAUGUUCGUCUCAGUUUCUUCAGAGGUAAAA
Molecule: long non-coding RNA, 464 nt
Organism: Homo sapiens (human)
Lineage: Eukaryota; Metazoa; Chordata; Mammalia; Primates; Hominidae
Source: Ensembl